Molecule: ribosomal RNA, 459 nt
Filed under: uncultured bacterium
Lineage: Bacteria
Description: partial 16S ribosomal RNA
Rfam family: Bacterial small subunit ribosomal RNA
Source: RNAcentral
ACUACGGGUGGCAGCAGUGAGGAAUAUUGGUCAAUGGGCGGAAGCCUGAACCAGCCAAGUAGCGUGCGGGAUGAAGGCCCUACGGGUCGUAAACCGCUUUUGCACGGGGAUAACACCCUCCACUUGUGGAGGUCUGCAGGUACCGUGCGAAUAAGGGCCGGCUAAUUCCGUGCCAGCAGCCGCGGUAAUACGGAAGGCCCUAGCGUUAUCCGGAUGCAUUGGGCUUAAAGGGGGCGUAGGCGGGCGUUCAAGUCAGCUGUAAAAUCGCGCGGCUCAACCGGCCCCCGCAGUUGAAACUGGACGCCUUGAGUUCACAACAGGCAGGCGGAAUUCGUGGUGUAGCGGUGAAAUGCAUAGAUAUCACGAGGAACCCCGAUUGCGAAGGCAGCCUGCCGGGGUGCGACUGACGCUGAGGCUCGAAGGUGCGGGUAUCAAACAGGAUUAGAUACCCCAGUAGUC